RNAcentral lists this ribosomal RNA (253 nucleotides) under uncultured bacterium. RNAcentral's name for it is "partial 16S ribosomal RNA". It matches the Rfam family "Bacterial small subunit ribosomal RNA", at positions 524 to 776 of the family's 1533-position model. The record is from RNAcentral.
UACGAAGGGGGCUAGCGUUGCUCGGAAUUACUGGGCGUAAAGCGUGCGCAGGCGGUGAUGUAAGACAGGUGUGAAAUCCCGGGGCUCAACCUCGGAACUGCAUUUGUGACUGCAUCGCUGGAGUGCGGCAGAGGGGGAUGGAAUUCCGCGUGUAGCAGUGAAAUGCGUAGAUAUGCGGAGGAACACCGAUGGCGAAGGCAAUCCCCUGGGCCUGCACUGACGCUCAUGCACGAAAGCGUGGGGAGCAAACAGG